UAGUGGUUAGAGCGUAGAGGUGGCAGGUAGCCUAGUGGUUAGAGUGUAGAGGCGGCAGGUAGCCUAGUGGUUAGAGUGUAGAGGCGGCAGGUAGUCUAGUGGUUAGAGUGUAGAGGUGGCAGGUAGCCUAGUGGUUAGAGUGUAGAGGUGGCAGGUAGCCUAGUGGUUAGAGUGUAGAGGAGGCAGGUAGCCUAGUGGUUAGAGCGUAGAGGCGGCAGGUAGCCUAGUGGUUAGAGUGUAGAGGAGGCAGGUAGCCUAGUGGUUAGAGUGUAGAGGUGGCAGGUAGCCUAGUGGUUAGAGUGUAGAGGUGGCAGGUAGCCUAGUGGUUAGAGUGUAGAGGUGGCAGGUAGCCUAGUGGUUAGAGUGUAGAGGAGGCAGGUAGCCUAGUGGUUAGAGUGUAGAGGUGGCAGGUAUCCUAGUGGUUAGAGUGUAGAGGUGGCAGGUAGCCUAGUGGUUAGAGUGUAGAGGAGGCAGGUAGCCUAGUGGUUAGAGUGUAGAGGUGGCAGGUAGCCUAGUGGUUAGAGUGUAGAGGUGGCA
Molecule: long non-coding RNA, 537 nt
Organism: Oncorhynchus tshawytscha (Chinook salmon)
Lineage: Eukaryota; Metazoa; Chordata; Actinopteri; Salmoniformes; Salmonidae
Source: Ensembl